RNAcentral lists this ribosomal RNA (668 nucleotides) under Triticum aestivum (bread wheat). Its description in RNAcentral is "partial small subunit ribosomal RNA". Lineage: Eukaryota; Viridiplantae; Streptophyta; Magnoliopsida; Poales; Poaceae. The record is from RNAcentral.
GGAGGAGGGGAGGGCACGUGAUAGAGUUGAAAAGAGGUGUUUUUACUACUUUCCGUCGCCGAGUUACGGAGGAACCUUGAGGUGGGACAAAUUGAAGAAGGAGGACUAAGGAAGGUGAGAUUUAAUUAAAUCCCAGACCCACACAUCAAAAAUACCACCCACACUGCCUAGAACCCCUCCACUCCUCCUGUCUCCACCCUCUUCCUGACGCUCAGACCUCUUAGAUCCGACGUGUAUAUUUAGGAGAGGUAGAAGGAGAGGGGAAACUGGGGAGGGGGGGUCAAGAGGUCAUUAGACUAAAACUAAAGAAGACAAAAGCAUUCUUGUUACACACGUCUAGACAUUUUCUUCUCUUCUCCUUCUUAGGGUUCCUUCUCAAACCACUUCUUCUUAUUCCACUGAUACACUCAACGUAACUGUCUUAGGUACAUAAUUCGACCCCGUAAAAACCGUCGACGUCGUUGGACUGUUAAGUAAACAAGAGUAUGUUCUACGAACACUUCAUGUACCCCUUCCGCGCGUACCAACUACUAAUACAAGACCUAACCUCCGGCUUCGUUUGAGGCAGUCCAAAGUCUAUUAAUGAAGUCCAAUCCGCCCUCUUUAUUUUUCCCAUUGGUAUCUAUAUACCACAUCGUAGUACUCCAAGUCCAAGGACGACAACUAGU